AUUUAUUACACCGAGCUACCACAGCUAAUAUCGCUUUAUUUUUUAGGCUAGAAGAGGGCCAACACUAAAAGCAAUAAUGUUGUGAUAUGCCGUAACUAAAUCAAUGUUUUUAUUAAUUUUUUAGUUACCAGGGUUAACAAGGAAACGCGUUAGCCUCCCUACAUUUGGAAAGGUGAUAUGUUAAC
This 185-nucleotide non-coding RNA is filed under the name uncultured Colwellia sp. Its description in RNAcentral is "Moco (molybdenum cofactor) riboswitch". It matches the Rfam family "Molybdenum/Tungsten riboswitch aptamer (Moco RNA motif)", at positions 13 to 119 of the family's 135-position model. Lineage: Bacteria; Pseudomonadati; Pseudomonadota; Gammaproteobacteria; Alteromonadales; Colwelliaceae. The record is from RNAcentral.